GAUCCUGGCUUAGAACGAACGCUGGUGGCGUGUCUUAUACAUGCAAGUCGAGCGAGGCAGCAAUGCCGAGCGGCGAACGGGUGAGUAACGCGUAAGCAAUCUGCCCCAUAUCAGGAAAUACCCGUGCCAACGCGCGGUUAAUGUCCAGGAGAGUGGCCAGCUGCAUGGCUGGUUGACUAGAGAUUUAUCGGUAUGGGAUGAGCUUGCGUCCGAUUAGCUAGUUGGCGGGGCAACGGCCCACCAAGGCGACGAUCGGUAGCCGGCCUGAGAGGGUGAUCGGCCACAUUGGGACUGAGAUACGGCCCAGACUCCUACGGGAGGCAGCAGUAGGGAAUAUUGCACAAUGGGGGAAACCCUGAUGCAGCAACGCCACGUGUGGGAAGAAGCAUUUCGGUGUGUAAACCACUGUCAUGAGGGAAUAAGGCCCGCCUUCGGACGGGAUUGAAUGUACCUUGAGAGGAAGCACCGGCAAACUUCGUGCCAGCCGCCGC
This 491-nucleotide ribosomal RNA is filed under the name uncultured bacterium. RNAcentral's name for it is "bacterial SSU rRNA". It matches the Rfam family "Bacterial small subunit ribosomal RNA", at positions 15 to 518 of the family's 1533-position model. The record is from RNAcentral.